AGUGAACGCUGGCGGCGUGCCUAAUACAUGCAAGUCGAACGGAGUGGCGCACGGGUGAGUAAUAUAUAGCUAAUCUGACCCUUGCUGGAGGACAACAGUUAGAAAUGACUGCUAAUACUCCAUAGCAAGGGAUGAGACUAUAUCGUAUCAGCUAGUCGGUGGGGUAACGGCCUACCGAGGCUAUGACGCGUAACUGGUCUGAGAGGAUGAUCAGUGCCAUUGUAGCUGCUACACGGUCCAAACUCCUACGUGAGGCAGCAGUAGGGAAUAUUGCGCAAUGGGGGAAACCCUGACGCAGCAACGCCGCGUGGAGGAUGACAGUUUGCUGAGCGUAAACUCCUUUUGUUAGGGAAGCGGUACCUAACGAGUGAGCGCCGGCUAACUCCGUGCCAGCCGCCGCGGUAAUAC
This 408-nucleotide ribosomal RNA is filed under the name uncultured bacterium. RNAcentral describes it as "partial 16S ribosomal RNA". It matches the Rfam family "Bacterial small subunit ribosomal RNA", at positions 29 to 526 of the family's 1533-position model. The record is from RNAcentral.